UACGUAGGUCCCGAGCGUUGUCCGGAUUUAUUGGGCGUAAAGCGAGCGCAGGUGGUUUAUUAAGUCUGGUGUAAAAGGCAGUGGCUCAACCAUUGUAUGCAUUGGAAACUGGUAGACUUGAGUGCAGGAGAGGAGAGUGGAAUUCCAUGUGUAGCGGUGCAAUGCGUAGAUAUAUGGAGGAACACCGGUGGCGAAAGCGGCUCUCUGGCCUGUAACUGACACUGAGGCUCGAAAGCGUGGGGAGCAAACAGG
RNAcentral lists this ribosomal RNA (252 nucleotides) under uncultured bacterium. RNAcentral's name for it is "partial 16S ribosomal RNA". It matches the Rfam family "Bacterial small subunit ribosomal RNA", at positions 524 to 776 of the family's 1533-position model. The record is from RNAcentral.